CCUCCAGGUUAAUGGUCUAAGUUAAAAGCAUUAUACAGCGAAACUGCGAAUGGCUCAUUAUAUAAGUUAUCGUUUAUUUGAUAGUACCUUACUACUUGGAUAACCGUGGUAAUUCUAGAGCUAAUACAUGCUAAAAAUCCCGACUUCGGAAGGGAUGUAUUUAUUAGAUUAAAAACCAAUGCCCUUCGGGGCUCACUGGUGAUUCAUAAUAACUUCUCGAAUCGCAUGGCCUUGCGCCGGCGAUGGUUCAUUCAAAUUUCUUCCCUAUCAACUUUCGAUGCUAGAGUAGUGUUCUAGCAUGGUUACAACGGGUAACGGAGGGUUAGGGCUCGACCCCGGAGAAGGAGCCUGAGAAACGGCUACUACAUCCAAGGAAGGCAGCAGGCGCGCAAAUUACCCAAUCCCGACACGGGGAGGUAGUGACGAUAAAUACUGAUACAGGGCUCUUUUGGGUCUUGUAAUUGGAAUGAGUACAAUUUAAAUCCCUUAACGAGGAACAAUUGGAGGGCAAGUCUGGUGCCAGCAGCCGCGGUAAUUCCAGCUCCAAUAGCGUAUAUUAAAGUUGUUGUGGUUAAAAAGCUCGUAGUAGAACCUUGGGCCUGGCUGGCCGGUCCGCCUCACCGCGUGCACUGGUCCGGCCGGGCCUUUCCCUCUGUGGAACCGCAUGCCCUUCACUGGGUGUGCCGGGGAAACAGGACUUUUACUUUGAAAAAAUUAGAGUGCUCCAGGCAGGCCUAUGCUCGAAUACAUUAGCAUGGAAUAAUAGAAUAGGACGUGUGGUUCUAUUUUGUUGGUUUCUAGGACCGCCGUAAUGAUUAAUAGGGACAGUCGGGGGCAUCAGUAUUCAAUUGUCAGAGGUGAAAUUCUUGGAUUUAUUGAAGACUAACUACUGCGAAAGCAUUUGCCAAGGAUGUUUUCAUUUAUCAGGAACGAAAGUUAGGGGAUCGAAGACGAUCAGAUACCGUCGUAGUCUUAACCAUAAACUAUGCCGACUAGGGAUCGGACGAUGUUAUUUUUUGACUCGUUCGGCACCUUACGAGAAAUCAAAGUGCUGGGCUCCAGGGGAGUAUAGACUGG
RNAcentral lists this ribosomal RNA (1077 nucleotides) under Colletotrichum sp. B21. RNAcentral's name for it is "SSU rRNA". It matches the Rfam family "Eukaryotic small subunit ribosomal RNA", at positions 50 to 1133 of the family's 1831-position model. Lineage: Eukaryota; Fungi; Ascomycota; Sordariomycetes; Glomerellales; Glomerellaceae. The record is from RNAcentral.